Molecule: ribosomal RNA, 1404 nt
Filed under: uncultured organism
Description: bacterial SSU rRNA
Rfam family: Bacterial small subunit ribosomal RNA
Source: RNAcentral
ACGUUGGCGGCGUGCCUAAGGCAUGCAAGUCGAACGCCUCACUUCGGUGAGGAGUGGCAAACGGGAGAGUAACACACUGGUAAUCUACCCCAAAGUUGGGAAUAACUUCGAGAAAUCGGGGCUAAUACCCAAUGUGCUGCGUUGACAUAAGUCUUCACAGUAAAGUUCCGGCGCUUUGGGAUGAGCCUAUGUCUCAUCAGCUUGUUGGUAAGGUAAAAGCUUACCAAGGCUACGACGAGUAGCGGGUGUGAGAGCACGACCCGUCUCACUGGGACUGAGACACUGCCCAGACUCCUACGGGAGGCUGCAGUCAGGAAUCUUCCACAAUGCACGAAAGUGUGAUGGAGCGACGCCGCGUGAUUGAUGAAGCCCUUCGGGGUGUAAAAAUCUUUUCUCUGGGACGAACUAAUGACGGUACCAGAGGAAUAAGGGGCUGCUAAUCUCGUGCCAGCAGCAGCGGUAAUACGAGAGCCUCGAACGUUACCCGGAUUUAUUGGGCGUAAAGCGUACGCAGGUGGUUUAUUAAGUCAACGGUAAAAUCCUUCAGCUCAACUGGAGAUCUGCCGCUGAUACUGAUAAACUAGAGGCUGGGAGAGGUAAGCGGAAUUGCCGGUGUAGGGGUCAAAUCCGUUAAUAUCGGCAGGAACACCAAAUGCGAAGGCAGCUUACUAGCACAGUCCUGACACUCAUGUACGAAAGCGUGGGGAGCGAAGCGGAUUAGAUACCCGCGUAGUCCACGCCGUAAACGAUGGAUACUAGACAUAGGGAGUAUCGACCCUCUCUGUGUCGUUCAAAAAAGCUAACGCGUUAAGUAUCCCGCCUGGGGAGUACGGCCGCAAGGCUAAAACUCAAAGGAAUUGACGGGGACUCGCACAAGCGGUGGAUCAUGUGGUUUAAUUCGUCUCUACGCGAGAAACCUCACCAAGGCUUGAAAUCUAGCUGCAUCCCACUAGAAAUAGAGGGAGCCUUCGAGGGUGCUAGACAGGUGCUGCAUGGUUGCCGUCAGCUCGUGUCGUGAGAUGUACGGUUAAGUCCGAUAACGAGCGCAACCCCUAUCCUAAUUUGUACUUUAUUAGGAAACUGCCUCGGUCAACGAGGAGGAAGGAGGGGACGACGUCAAAUCAGCAUGGCCCUUACGCCUUGGGCUACACACAUGAUACAAUGGCCAGUACAAUGGGUCGCCAAGUCGAAAGAUGGAGCUAAUCCCACCAAAACUGGUCUCAGUUCGGAUUGAGGUCUGCAACUCGACCUCAUGAAGCUGGAAUCGCUAGUAACCGUAAAUCAGAACGUUACGGUGAUACGUUCUCGAGUCUUGUACACACUGCCCGUCACGUCAAGAGAGUCGGUAUACCCGAAUAUCGUUGUAGGACGGUAGAAGGUAGGAUCGAUGAUAGGGGCGAAGUC